Rattus norvegicus (Norway rat) is the source of this 1676-nucleotide long non-coding RNA. RefSeq lists it as uncharacterized. The record is from RefSeq and is a predicted model, not a curated record. Lineage: Eukaryota; Metazoa; Chordata; Mammalia; Rodentia; Muridae.
AGAACUUUCCAGAAUGUGAAGCCUCAGAGGGGAUUCUAGAGAGGUAGACAUUAAGGCCAGGCCUCUGGCCUUCUGGUGGUCAGGUAAGCUAGCUCUUCAAGGCACUCUCACCGUCUGCUCCACGCGCUGCAAAUCCGCAGGAGCCCCUGCACCUCAUAUUCUCCGAGCUCAGACCUUGCAGAACACUGGGCCUCCUUCCUCGUUCCAGUCUGCCUGGCUUUGUACCCUGAAGCGCUGUGCGUGUACCCUGACGUGGUGUGUUCGUUCUCCUACAGGUUGACUAUCUCCUCCUAUACCUUUGACCUCUGCACAACCAGCUGACCACGAACUGAACUCCAGACAGAGCCAAGUUAAAUCUUUAUCCCUCCUGUAGAUGGUUUGCUUGGUACUUGUCACAGGGACCAAAGCCCUGCUCUGCUCUGCAUGCGUGUGAGAGCAACCAUUGCAUGUAGAAACGUGUUUCAUCCUCAGGGCUGCUCUAAAGGCAAAGCACGGGCUUUACUAUUGGAGACUCAGAAAGGUUUGGUAAUUUGCCUGAUGUCACACAGCCGUUGACGGCUGUACAUUGACAAAACCAGGAUUUUUUUUUUUUUUUUUUUUUUGAGUCUCUGUUAACUUGGCACAUGCUCAGUGUUCUUAGAUGGCAUUCUUUUGCUUUCCUCCCUCGCUUUCAUGAGGCUGAGUCACCACUUCCUCAGGAAAUCUUAAUAUAAAGCCGUGGAAACUGAGGGCCGGCCAGUUCAACCCUCCCUCGGCGUUUUCAGAUGAGGAAAUGCAACUGCAGACCCCGGUUAGCAGCACCUGCCUACAGCGCCAGCACCAGUGAUGGGGAGGCAGAGGCAGCAGGAUCACUGGGAGUUCCGGGCUAGCCUGAGCUACACAGCGAAGCCACGUAGAAAACAACAAAUCAAAACACAGCAAACAAAAACCCUGCAGGGUGUGUGCCCAGUGGCUUCGCAGCUCUGUCCGCAGGCUCCUCCACAUUUAGCAGGAACAUCGGACUCCAUCUUCAGCUCCGAAUCCUUCUGACCGGUUUGAAAAAGAAACGUCCCCCUUUGGCGCCCAUUUCCAGUCUGUCGCACUGCACUGCAGAGACUUAACUGGAAUGAGCUGCUUCUCCACGCUGCAGCCCCAAGGAGCCCGAGGCCAUAUCCUGCCAGAGCUACAACAGGCUGCAACGAGGCCCUGCACUUCUCUCCAUCUUCCCUGUUACUGCAGUUGUUGCUUUUGCGACCAUUUCCUGUAGCCCAGGCUGGCCUAAAAUACCCUGGCCAAUCAAGGAUAAUCUUGAAGCUGAUCCUUCUCCCACCUUCCAAAGUGACAGGAUUAUAGACGCAGAGUGCCCAACCGUUUGUCUUUUAUUUAAAUGGAGCUGGGGAUUUAACCUGGGGUUCCCCCCCUUCCCCGCCCCGUGGCCCAGGCAAAUGCGUGCAGGAACACACCCUCGCUCCUCCCCCUCUUCCUGUUUUAUCUUGCCGCCUAACCUCUUUGCUUCUGAGACUUGAAUAGCACUGUCUUGAGUGUCAGCCUAGCAAAAAAAUUCAACCCUUCCCAGAGGAGGAGUCUGAGCUAAGACUGUCGACAGGUACCUGGUCUUUCCCCCAGAUGAAACAAAAUAGCCCGAACUCAUGCCUUCAUUAUACUAUGAUCUCAAUAAAUUCCUCUGUGUAAUCUUA